AGUGAACGCUGGCGGCAGGCCUAACACAUGCAAGUCGAGCGGCAGCGCGUCCGACCACCCUCGGGUGGUCGGAUGGCGGCGAGCGGCGGACGGGUGAGGAAUGCAUCGGAAUCUGCCUCGUUGUGGGGGAUAACGUAGGGAAACUUACGCUAAUACCGCAUACGACCUACGGGUGAAAGUGGGGGACCUUCGGGCCUCACGCGAUGAGAUGAGCCGAUGCCGGAUUAGCUAGUUGGCGGGGUAAAGGCCCACCAAGGCGACGAUCCGUAGCUGGUCUGAGAGGAUGAUCAGCCACACUGGAACUGAGACACGGUCCAGACUCCUACGGGAGGCAGCAGUGGGGAAUAUUGGACAAUGGGGGGCAACCCUGAUCUAGUCAUGCCGCGUGAGUGAUGAAGGCCCUAGGGUUGUAAAGCUCUUCAGCUGGGAAGAUAAUGACGGUACCAGCAGAAGAAGCCCCGGCUAACGUCCGUGCCAGCAGCCG
RNAcentral lists this ribosomal RNA (484 nucleotides) under uncultured bacterium. RNAcentral describes it as "bacterial SSU rRNA". It matches the Rfam family "Bacterial small subunit ribosomal RNA", at positions 30 to 517 of the family's 1533-position model. The record is from RNAcentral.